GCGCUACUGUUCAUCAUGCCGUUUCUCUCGGCGUUCGAUCGCUCGCUCCUCUCUGCAUCCAGAUCUGCGGAUCAACUCUUCUUUAUCGGCGUGGAGGUCCUCAGCAUCUGGCGACCAGCUUCCGACCAUCGGGCGUCUCCAGCGAGCCAAUUCUGUGGGUGGAACACUGUAGCUGUGGAUCACGAUUUUCUCAUCAGACCGGCGGUGUUCUUCUGGUUUGAGUUCCCAUUCCUUCACAGAAUCAUCGGCGGCGUUCCUCCGGUGAUCCUGGUCCAUUUCCGAUAGCGAUUCAUCCUUCGUAGCACUCCUUCCAGCCUUGCAAUUCUGGCGCUAGUGAACCGGAGUCCAACAGUGUGCGAUUUCAAAGUUCACAGUUUCGUUGAAGAUUUCUAUGGUUAAUUGAGUGAAUCUGCGUUGAGCUUGGAGCUAGAGGGUGCCAUUUCGACACUAGUUGGAGCAUUCUCUGUGGUUCCUUGUGCGGCGGCAAGGAGGAGAAGAUUUGGUCUAAGAUUUGGAUUGUAGGGAUGUUUAGUUUAAUUGCAGCUUGAUUCUUUAGAAUAGAUCUUAAUGUUUUUGCAAUUGAAUCUGAAUUUUUCACUUCAUAGUAUAGAUUCGCUGUUAAUUCUUUUUUACUGCACAAUUUUGUUCUUCCCUGCUCUGUUCUAUUCUGUAUAGUUUAGUAGAAAUUUCUGCAAAUUCCGGAUUCUAAGUUCUUGUUAGUGAUUUCUGUUUUAGCAAACCAUUAGAUGAUAAGUUAGUCAGUAAUAGAUUUUAGUUAGUUUAAUAGAUUUAUUAAUUUCUAAUGCAAUUAAUUAGGCGUAGUGUUAAGCUUUUGUGGAGUUGUGUUCUGCAAUGUGUAAGCAGCAAUUCUAUUCUUAGGUUUUCAGUAGGUAAGUUUAGUGGGUUAAGUAGAAGUAGUUUUAUAAUAAUUUCUAGUAGCUAAAAAUCCAUUCUCUAGUUGUUUUAGAUUAAUUCAGUCGUUGAUAAGUUUUAUCACUGGAAUUAGGUUGAUUUGUGCUCAUUUUCAAUUCAGUUAGUAGAGUCAUAUUCUUGUUUGUUUAGAAUUCAAGUUUGCAGCAGAAUAGAUUUUGGUUUAUUGAAUUAAUUCAUUUGUUUGUAAUUUAAUUUUAAAUUCAAGAGUUUCUUCAAACGUCAAAUCACAUUUUGAUAACUAGAAAACCCAAAAAUAGUAUUCUAAAUCCAAGACAAUCAUAUUUCUAGUAUGAUCCUCGAAAAAUUCGACUUGGCCCUUAUACUAAAACAUUUCCUUGUGUAGUUGUGGGUUUUCAAUCAUUACAUUAAUUUGAGAGUCUAUUUGUGACACACAUUUGGAUAGCUACCAAAUUUUGGCGUCGUUGCCGGGGAACAUACCUUGUUAGAAUUUUUUUGUUUUGGAUUGUGAAUGAUUUUCUUUUUCUCAGCUUAAGUUUCAUUGAUUUUGUUGACUAUCAACUAAAAUUUUUAUUGUGGAUUUGCUUGCAUGACUAGGUCUUCCUUUGCAACAUUGCUUGAACUUGACCCGGAGAUUGAGAGGACCUUUUGGGCCUUGAGGAGACAAGCUAGAUCAACAAGAAUUCUUGAAAGUAGUUCUUUAAACAUGGAUAAUCAAAUAACAGAAAGCAAUCGAACCAUGAAAGAGAUUGCAGCUCCAGAUGUGGCAUAUGAGUAUUCAUGCAUCACUUAUCCAGAUUUGGCAGGAGAUUUUGAACUCAGAUCAGGACUUAUCCAUCUGCUUCCCAAAUUUCAAGGUUUAUCAGGAGAAGAUCCCAACCGACAUCUACAUGAAUUCCAUGUUGUUUGUUCGACCAUGAAACCACAGGGGAUUUCAGAAGAAGACAUUAAGUUGAGGGCUUUUCCAUUCUCUUUGACGGGAGCAGCUAAAGAUUGGCUAUACUACCUUCUAGUUGGAUACAUUACAAGUUGGAUUGAUAUGAAGAGAGCAUUUUUGGAGAAAUUUUUCCCAACUUCUAGGACUACAACUAGGAAGAGUAUUUAUGGAAUUCAGCAAGUAGUGGGAGAGACUCUUUAUGAUUAUUGGGAGAGAUUCAAGAAGCUGUGUUCGAGUUGUCCACAACAUCAAAUCAGUGAUCAACUUCUUAUUCAAUAUUUUUAUGAGGGACUACUUCUCAUGGAUAGAACUAUGAUAGAUGCAGUAGCUGGAGGAGCUUUGGUGAAUAAGACUCCAAAUCAAGCAAGAGAGCUUAUUUCAAAUAUGGCGGAAAAUUCACAGCAAUUUGGGAGUAGAGCUCUUGGAACUAGAGUGGUUAAUGAAACUCAUUUGGUUUCAACUAAGCAAUAAGAAAUAAGAAACAAUCUGCAAGAGUUGACCUCUCUAGUGAAGCAAAUGGCAUUGCAAAAUUCUUAUCAAGUUUCAAAUUUUCCUUUACCAAUGAUGAAAGUAUGUGGAAUUUGUUCAAGCCAAGAUCACUCUUCGGAUUAUUAUCCUAACCUACAUCAAGAUGAAUAUGUUGCAGUCAUUUCAAGACCUCAAUAUCAACAACACAAAUAUGAUCCCAAUUCUUCAACUUACAAUCCGGGAUGAAGGGAUCACCCUAAUUUAAGGUAUGGGAACACAUUUUAUCAACAACCACCACAAAGUCAGUUUAAUCAGUCAUCAUUCCAUCAUCAACAGAAUCAACAUCAACAUAAUCAGCAUCAUUUUCAGAAUCAUCCAGUAGUUCAUUCUCAAUAGUUUUAGCAAUUUCAGCAACCACAAUUUCAGUAAAAUUUCAACCAAUCUCAGCAAUUACAACCAUUUCAGAAUUUUCAGUAGUCUAAUGUUGCAAUUCAACUACAAUUUCAGAACCCACAGAAUCAACAAACCAAUUUUUAGCAGCUUCAACAACCUGGGCAGAAUUUUCAGCAACCAAAUAAUGCAAACCAGCACCAAUUUCAGCAGCCAUUGGCAUCUUCUUCAAGCUCAAGAUCAAUGCAAUUUCAGAAUAGCUAUAGAAGUUCAAAAAUAGAGGAUUUGAUGCAGCAAAUGUUGCAACAGCAGCAACAAAUGUUGCAACAGCAGCAACACCAGCAGAGGACUAAUACAACAUUGCAAAACAUUGAAAGACAGAUUGGGCAGCUGGCUAGUAACAUUAAUCAGAUGCAGAACCAAGGAUCUAGGUAAUUACCUUCACAACCUACUCCAAAUCCUAAGGGAAAUGUAAGUGCAUUAACUCUUCGAAGUGGUAAAACAAUUUCAGAUCUGACUCAGAAUUUAUUAGCUAGAUCCCAGCAGAUUUCACCCAGUCUAGCUGCAGAUUCAACCUCACAAAAGUUCCAGAAUUUUCCAGCAAUUCAAGAGCAAAUAGAUUCUGCAUAGAAUGGAAUUUCUGGAGCUGAUCGGCUACAUUUUACUCAACCUGCAACUUCAGAACUUACUUAAUCUGAUAGAGCAGAUUUCGGCUUGGAAUUUAAUUCAACAGCAGUUACCCAUUCAGCUUCAACUUAGUACAGAAUUUGGACAAGAAUCUUCACCAGUAAGUAGCCGAGCCCUCUAUUCCUCUACCCUUCCCUCGAAGAAGUAUACAACCAAAAAAAGAUAUAGAGGAAGAAAAGGCUAGAGAAUAUCAAGAUUUGGUGAAGUUAUUCAGCAAGGUUGAAGUGAAUGUGCCUUUGCUAACCAUGAUCAAACAAAUUCCAAAAUAUGCCAAAUUCCUCAAGGAUCUUUGUGUGCACAAGAAGAAAUUGAAGAGAAAUGAAUUGAUUAGUAUGGGGAAAAACGUCUCAGCAUUACUUCAGCCAGUUCCUCAGAAAUGUGAAGAUCCAGGAGUUUUCACAGUACCUUGUGUUAUAGGAGAUUGUAUUUUUGAGGAUGCAAUGUUAGAUCUUGGAGCCUCUAUAAAUGUGAUGCUGAAAUCAGUUUUUCAAUCAUUAAGAAUUGGACCUCUGCAACCUAUAGGUGCAGUGAUUCAAUUAGCUAAUCGAAGUCAAGCACACCCAAUUGGUUUGGUAGAGGAUGUAUUGGUGAAAGUGAAGGAGUUAAUUUUUCCUGCAGAUUUUUAUAUCUUAGAUAUGGAGGGUGAUGUGCUUGCAAGCAGGUCUCCACUUAUUCUUGGACAUCCAUUCUUGAAGAUUGUGAGAACAAACAUUAAUGUACAUGCAGGAACUCUGUCCAUGAACUACAGUGAUUUGUUUCAGCAUUUUUGAGGCUAUGAAGCAUCCUAAAGAGGAUCAUUCUAUACUUAGCUUGGAUAUCUCAGAGGAGCUGAAUGGCAUGGAUUUCUCUUUGGAAACUGAUUCAGAUAUUAUUGAAGUUGAUCAAGGGAAUGAAUUUCUGCAUUGUUGGAGGAUAUCUUGGAUGUGGGAGCAGAUGUUAGCUCAAGUGAAUGCGUAGGGGAUUGCUUAGGAGAAGCAUUACCCCUAGAAUUGCUCAGGGAAGAAGAAUUAUGCGUAGGGGAUUGCUUAGGAGAAGCUCUACCCCUAGGAUCACCUUCUGUUGACCAGAAAUAGGAAGAGUUGAAGUCAUUGCCUCAACAUUUGAAAUAUGCUUAUUUAGGAGAGAAUCAGUAGCUACCUGUCAUUAUAGCUCAUAAUUUGAAAUCAGAUCAAGAGGAAAGAUUGUUAAAGAUUCUGAGACAACAUAGAAAGGUCAUUGGAUGGACUCUGGCAGACAUUCCUGGGAUUAGUCCUUCUAUUUGCAUGAAUAGGAUUUAUUUGGAGGAGGAUGUGAAACCAGUGAGACAGCCACAGAGGCGACUUAACCCUUUGAUCUUGGGCGUCGUAAAGAAAGAGGUGACUAGACUCUUACAGGCAAAUAUUAUUUAUCCAAUUUCUGACAGUAAAUGGAUAAGUCCCAUCCAUGUGGUUCCAAAGAAAUCAGGGGUGACAUUGGUAACUAAUGAAGAGAAUGAAUUGGUGCCCACGAGAGUGAACAAUUCUUGGAGAGUUUGUGUGAACUACAGGAAGCUGAACCAAGUGAGUUGAAAGGACCAUUACCCCUUGCCCUUUAUUGAUCAGAUGUUAGAAUGGCUAGCAGGCAAGUCACAUUAUUGCUUCCUCGAUGGUUAUACUGGUUAUUUUCAUAUUUACAUUGACCCAGAGGACCAGGAGAAGACUACCUUCACUUGCCCUUUUGGUACAUUCGCAUAUCGUCGGAUGUCAUUCGGACUAUGCAAUGCUCCAGGAACUUUUCAGCGAUGCAUGGAUGGACAAAAGAUUAAGUGUGGGGGAGGUGUUUAGUCUUUGAUUGAGUUUUUUUUUUGUUUUGGUGGAGGAAGUGAAUUCUGCAGGGAUAGAGGAAGCUCAGUGGAAGUUGUUGGUUGUGUGUGUGUCUUAUUCCAAUAAUUGAUACAUUUGAAUUAUGAUUAGAAGUAUUGUGAACAACUUGGAAUUUUGGAAACUGAUACUAUGAUGGUCUUUUAUAGAGCUUUGGAAAUCUACAGAAUUGAAGUGCAAAGCUGGAAUAUGAAGGUAUUAUUUCAUCAAUGAAGCACUUGAACAUAGUAUCAAGUGUUGUUUCCAUUUCUUUACAAAUCUGCUGGACAGGAUUUUGAUAGUACCAAGUUGUUGGAAUUCUGAAAUUAUAGUAAGCUUUUUAAUUGACCUACUAAAGCUGAAACAAGAUGGAAAUCAAGCUAUCAUUUGAUUUAAUGAUUGAAAAGUUCUAUGGAAAUGAAUUGUUGAAGCUUGAAGUGAGGAAGUAGUAAUUUCAUAAUUCUGUGAGAUAAAUGCAUAACUGGGCAAUUCUGAAAAAAAUUGAAGUUGUGCAAAUUCAGAGAAUUUGGAAUGAAUGGAGUAUCAAAAAUUCAGAAAUGAUUUCAGGAAAAGGAGAAGCUUACAUGAAGUUUUGUAACGUGAAGCAACAAAAGGAAUUCUGGUAUCAUUAACUUCUACAAGUUGUAUUCUAUUGAAAUGAUGGAAGAGCAAUGAUAUUUGAUAGCAGUGAAGGAUGAUAUCGGAUGAUGAGAAGACUAAAAGAAGGCAGAGAUGGAUUUCAAGUUGUGAGUAAUACUUCAUUCAAAAUUGUAAUCUAAACUUUGAAUGGAACAAAUGAAAACAAAAAGGAAUAUUUGCUGAGAUGACAAAAAUAGACAAAGAGUCAGAAUUCAGAAAAUGCAGAAUUACACAGCACAAGUAAUGUCGCAUUUCUGUGCCAAUUUGGGAAGAGAAUUGUGAUGAGUUAGAGCUGCUGGAAACUGGAAAGCUCUCGGAUAUGCAUUGUAAAGGGUCUUAAGAGACAAGAUGAAGAAGUAUUGAAGUUUUCUGGGAAUAAACAGUGAUAAAUUGAUACAAAGUCCAGAAUAUGAAGAAACUGAAAUCAGCAAUUUGCUGUGCAAAUUGGAGUUCAAGAGUUUACAAGACUUUUAGACAAGAAAUUUGAUACCAAACAGGAAAAUAAAGUUGGAAACUGAAGAUUGAACUAAAUCUGCAGCUUUGGUAUUGGACUGUAAUUGAAGCAGUAGGAAGUUAAAGUACAAGCUGAAUUUUUGUGUCAUUGCAGGAAAAGAGCUUAAGACUUACUAUCGGUCAAAUGCAGAAGAGGAAGUUAAAAAAAAUGAAAGAAAGAAAUAUGCAGCUACAAGUGGAAGUGAAUUCUGAUUCUAAUAAAGUCCAGUUUUGUGCCAUAGGGUACUAAAGGGGUCAUUAUUCAAAUGAAGAAUUGGUCUAUUUAACCAAGUGAAGUUGUGCAAAACCACUUGUGGGCUUAACCAAACCUAGAACCCAACUGAACCUGAACCCAAGUCACACCUCAAUUUGAGCCAAAACCCUAAGUAUUUAAUCAAAAAUCUGGCACGAUGAACAGUGAACUUGCGCUACUGUUCAUCAUACCGUUUCUCUCGGCGUUCAAUCGCUCGCUCCUCUCUGCAUCCAAAUCUGCGGAUCAACUCUUCUUCAUUGGCGUGGAGGUCCUCAGCAUCCGACGACCAACUUCCGACCAUUGGACGUCUCCAGUGAGCCAAUUCUGUGGGCGGAACACUGUAGCUACGGAUCACGAUUUUCUCAUCAGACCGGCGGCGUUCUUCUGGUUUGAGUUCCCACUUCUUCACAGAAUCAUCGGCGGCGUUCCUCCAGUGAUCCUGGUCCAUUUCUGACAGCGAUUCAUCCUUCGUAGCACUCCUUCCAGCCUUGCGAUUCCGACGCCAGUGAACCAGAGUCCAACAAUGCGCGAUUUCAGAGUUCAUGGUUUCGUUGAAGAUUUCUAUGGUUAAUUGAGUGAAUCUACAUUGAGCUUGGAGCUAGAGGGCGCCAUUCCGACAAUAGUUGGAGUGUUCUCUGCGGUUCCUUGUGCGAUGGCAAGGAGGAGAAGAUUUGGUCUGAGAUUUAGAUUGUAUGGAUGUUUAGUUUAAUUGCAACUUGAUUCUUUAGAAUAGAUCUUUCUGUUUUUGCAAUUGAAUCUGAAUUUGUCACUUCAUAGUA
This is a long non-coding RNA of Zingiber officinale, 7353 nucleotides long. RefSeq lists it as uncharacterized. The record is from RefSeq and is a predicted model, not a curated record. The transcript has 3 exons. NCBI's taxonomy places the organism in Eukaryota, Viridiplantae, Streptophyta, Magnoliopsida, Zingiberales, Zingiberaceae.